UAAAAUUAAUUUUAGUUUAAAAAUUUAUAUUUAGCUUUAAAUUUUAUAAAUAAAUGGUUUAAUCAUUAUUUUCAUUAUUAAUUUUAAAAGUUAAUAAGAUGAAUAUUUAAAUUUAAUAUUUAAUUUUUAUUAUUUAUAAUAAUUUAUAUUUAAGAAAAGUUAAUUUAAUUUAUUGUCAAAAUUUUGUGCCAGCAGUCGCGGUUAUACAUAAAAUAUUUAAAUUGAUUUUAAUUUUUGAAUGUUAAAUUGUAUAAUUUAAAAUUUAAUUUAAUUUUUAUUAAAGUGAAAUUUUAGAUUUUAAUAUAAAUUUAUUUAAUGGAAUUUAUAAUUUAGAUUUAAUAAAUAAACUGUUAAACUAGAAUUAGAUACUCUAUUAUAAUUUAAUUACCUAUAAUUUAAAAUUAAAUUACUUAUAGUUAUUUACUAAAAAUUUAAAUAAUAUGGCGGUUAUUUAAUUAAUUUAGAGGAACUUGAAUAAUUUUUAAUUGAUACUUCACGAUAAAUUUAACUCUAUUUAAUAUUUAUAUAUCGUUGUUAUAAAAAUUUUUUUAUUGAAGUCAUUUAAAUAUUUUAAUUUUAAUAUUUUAAUUUAUAUCAAAUCAAGAUGUAGUAAUUUUAGAGAUAUUAUUGAGUUACAUUUAAUUAUAUUUUUAAUUAUUUAAAUGUUGAAUUAUAUUGAAAUUUAAAUAGGAAUUGGAUUUAAAAGUAAUUAUUUUUAAUUAUCUAUAAUGAUUAUAAUUUUAAUUAAUGUACAUAUUGCCCGUCACUCUUUUUAAUAAUUAAUUUAAUUUAAAUUUUAUUAUAAAAAAGAUAAGUCGUAACAAAGUAGAUGUACUGGAAAGUGUUUCUAGAA
Molecule: non-coding RNA, 853 nt
Filed under: Plectrocnemia tsukuiensis
Lineage: Eukaryota; Metazoa; Arthropoda; Insecta; Trichoptera; Polycentropodidae
Source: RNAcentral